UCUCUCUCUUCUUCCUCCCGUUUUCUUCCUCGAUCUUCUUCGAUCUUCUUCCUCUACGAACACCUUCGAUCUUCUUCCUCAAAUCCUUUUCGAUCUUCUUCGAAAUUCUUCAUCCUCUCAAACGGACUCUUUGGUUCUCUCUCCUCUAAGAAAAGGAAAGAAUCAUGUAUUUCUCUCUCCUCAUCUCAAACCGUUCGCCGUCUCCUCAUCUCAAACCCUAGAAUCCAUACUAGCUCUAAAGAACCAUCAAUUUCGAAGAUUUGGUUUCUUCAUCUUCUUCGUGGCCCAUGCUCUAAAACUUUCUGAUUUGCGAGAUGUGGUCGGCAAAUCUUCCGGUUGUUCGACGCCUCUGCUGCCAUUACGUCUACAUCCACCGCCGAUUCAGUGGUGAUUUUGAAAGCAUUUCGAUGUGAAGCAACUUUUGGAGUCAGAUUUGAGACUAAUUUCACUCUUCUGAUCUCGAAUAAUUCGUCAAAGGUGUUUCAUUCGACCAAUCAGAUAAAGAUCUUUUCUGCUUGGUGAAGUGGCGAAUAUGUCGGCGAAAUUGAAGCAGUGUAAGCUUGAUGCUCGCCGUGAACAAUGGCUUUCGCAAGAGAAGUAGGGGAGUUUCUUAGUGGUGCUUUGGCUGGGGCUAUGUCGAAAGGCGGUUUUGGCACCUCUUGAAACCAUCAGGUACUAGGAAACUGCAAUCUCCAUCUAUGAUGAGUAUGGAAAAACAAAUAAGAUGUGGUCAUCAAUAACCGCUGCUCAAGGAAGUUGUGUCAUAUAAAUGUAGAGCAAGCUAAUCACAAGGGUCUAACCCUGACUUUGAUUAAGGCUGGGUGCCAUGGUCCUCUUAAAGAGGGAGCCUCAUAUCUCUAGAACAAAUGAAAUAGACUCUGGCUGGUAACCUAAUAUCCACUGCAUCACCAAUCUUGAAGAAAG
Molecule: long non-coding RNA, 924 nt
Organism: Spinacia oleracea (spinach)
Lineage: Eukaryota; Viridiplantae; Streptophyta; Magnoliopsida; Caryophyllales; Amaranthaceae
Exons: 7
Source: RefSeq, a predicted model, not a curated record